This 800-nucleotide ribosomal RNA is filed under the name uncultured archaeon. Its description in RNAcentral is "bacterial SSU rRNA". It matches the Rfam family "Archaeal small subunit ribosomal RNA", at positions 85 to 889 of the family's 1478-position model. The record is from RNAcentral.
ACGGCUCAGUAACACGUGGAUAACUUGCCCUUGGGUCUGGGAUAACCCCUGAGAAAUUGGGGACAAUACCAGAUAGGGCAUCGAUAGCUGGAGUGCGCGAUGUCCAAAAGCUGAGGCGCCCAAGGAUAGGUCUGCGGCCGAUUAGGUUGUUGUUGAUGUAAUGGAUCAACAAGCCUGCAAUCGGUACGGGUUGUGAGAGCAAGAGCCCGGAGAUGGGUUCUGAGAAAAGAACCCAGGUCCUACGGGACGCAUCAGGCGCGAAAACUUUACAAUGUGCGAAAGCACGAUAAGGGAACUCUGAGUGCCUCCUAUGGAGGCUGUUCAGGUGUCAAAAAAGCACUUGAAGUAAGGGCUGGGUAAGACCGGUGCCAGCCGCCGCGGUAACACCGGCAGCCCAAGUGGUAGCCACGAUUAUUGGGUCUAAAGCGUCCGUAGCCGGCCAGGUAAGUUCUUUGGGAAAUUUAACCGCUCAACGGUUAAGCUUUCAGGGAAUACUGCUUGGCUUGGGACCGGGAGAGGUCAGAGGUACUUCAAGGGUAGGGGUGAAAUCCGUUAAUCCUUGAGGGACCACCAGUAGCGAAGGCGUCUGACCAGACCGGGUCCGACGGUGAGGGACGAAGGCUAGGGUCGCGAACUGGAUUAGAUACCCGGGUAGUCCUAGCUGUAAACGAUGCGGGCCAGGUGUUGGCAUUACUGCGAGUGAUGUCAGUGCCGAAGGGAAGCCGUUAAGCCCGCCAUCUGGGGAGUACGGUCGCAAGGCUGAAACUUAAAGGAAUUGGCGGGGGAGCACCACAACGGGU